AUGGGGCAGAAAGAAGUUUCUGAACUUGUUGCUCCUGGGCACAAGGCCUUGGGGAUCCUGGAAAGCCCAGAAAGCAUUUGCUGCACGGAGGCUGGAGGUCACAGGAACUUCCUUAUCUUGGGAAGUCUUCAGAACAUCUUAUUACUAAAGUGCCAUGAUCUCUGUCACCAGAGUGUCUGGAAAAAAAGCAAGACCCAGACUCAGUGUCUUCCAAAAUUGGAGAGAAGUGGUUUUACAACCAGAAGACAUUCAGGACUCUGUGCUGAGAGCCAUUUGAUACAGGUGGGCAUUCUGGAAAGCCGUGGUUUUGCAGUAUUGGGGGAGUAUAUCUGUGUGCUGGGGGAGAGAGAGAGCACACCUGCUCACCCCACAUGGUCCGUGCCCUCUAGAAAACACCUUUAUAAAGCAAUCCAAUAACACUCAGACAGACAUGUUCUGAAUCAAACAUGCCAGAUGCACAUUACACUACUUGAAAUGUGUGCUUUAAUUUGGUUUCUUGACUCUCCUCCUUCCAUCUUUAAAAUAUUUCAAUAAAAGGAAGCUGCACAUCUUGAGUAAAUCA
Molecule: long non-coding RNA, 562 nt
Filed under: Sus scrofa (pig)
Lineage: Eukaryota; Metazoa; Chordata; Mammalia; Artiodactyla; Suidae
Description: lncRNA (ENSSSCG00070000724.1)
Source: RNAcentral